Molecule: ribosomal RNA, 514 nt
Filed under: uncultured bacterium
Lineage: Bacteria
Description: partial 16S ribosomal RNA
Rfam family: Bacterial small subunit ribosomal RNA
Source: RNAcentral
GAUGAACGCUGGUGGCGUGCCUAAUACAUGCAAGUCGAGCGAACAGAUGAGAAGCUUGCUUCUCUGAUGUUAGCGGCGGACGGGUGAGUAACACGUGGGUAACCUACCUAUAAGACUGGGAUAACUCCGGGAAACCGGGGCUGAUACCGGAUAAUAUUUUGAACCGCAUGGUUCGAUAGUGAAAGACGGUUUUGGCUGUCACUUAUAGAUGGACCCGCGCCGUAUUAGCUAGUUGGUAAGGUAACGGCUUACCAAGGCGACGAUACGUAGCCGACCUGAGAGGGUGAUCGGCCACACUGGAACUGAGACACGGUCCAGACUCCUACGGGAGGCAGCAGUAGGGAAUCUUCCGCAAUGGGCGAAGGCCUGACGGAGCAACGCCGCGUGAGUGAUGAAGGUCUUCGGAUCGUAAAACUCUGUUGUUAGGGAAGAACAAAUUUGUUAGUAACUGAACAAGUCUUGACGGUACCUAACCAGAAAGCCACGGCUAACUACGUGCCAGCCGCCGCGGUAA